GACGAACGCUGGCGGCGUGCCUAAUACAUGCAAGUAGAACGCUGAAGGAGGAGCUUGCUUCUCCGGAUGAGUUGCGAACGGGUGAGUAACGCGUAGGUAACCUGCCUGGUAGCGGGGGAUAACUAUUGGAAACGAUAGCUAAUACCGCAUAACAGUAGAUAUUGCAUGAUAUCUGCUUGAAAGGUGCAAUUGCAUCACUACCAGAUGGACCUGCGUUGUAUUAGCUAGUUGGUGAGGUAACGGCUCACCAAGGCGACGAUACAUAGCCGACCUGAGAGGGGGUUCGGCCACACUGGACUGAGACACGGCCCAGACUCCUACGGGAGGCAGCAGUAGGGAAUCUUCGGCAAUGGACGGAAGUCUGACCGAGCAACGCCGCGUGAGUGAAGAAGGUUUUCGGAUCGUAAAGCUCUGUUGUAAGAGAAGAACGAGUGUGAGAGUGGAAAGUUCACACUGUGACGGUAUCUUACCAGAAAGAGACGGCUAACUACGUG
This 494-nucleotide ribosomal RNA is filed under the name uncultured bacterium. RNAcentral describes it as "partial 16S ribosomal RNA". It matches the Rfam family "Bacterial small subunit ribosomal RNA", at positions 28 to 507 of the family's 1533-position model. The record is from RNAcentral.